Molecule: ribosomal RNA, 122 nt
Filed under: Pachypsylla venusta (hackberry petiole gall psyllid)
Lineage: Eukaryota; Metazoa; Arthropoda; Insecta; Hemiptera; Aphalaridae
Source: RNAcentral
GCCAACGAUCAUACCACGUUGAAUACACCAGUUCCCGUUAGAUAACUGAAGUUUAGCAACGUCGGGCGUGGUCAGUACUUGGAUGGGCGACCGCCUGGGAACACCACGUAUCGUUGGCUCAU